AUGGCGAUGAUGAGACGCGCAGGGGUACGGACCUCAGCUGAUAAUGGGAGCUGAGUGUUGGUGCUGUAUCUCAGCCCAGAGGGCAUGUGGUCCACUGGCUGGGGGUGCCGACACGAUAAAGACGCCCGACUGAGCCUU
Osmerus eperlanus (European smelt) is the source of this 138-nucleotide small nucleolar RNA. RefSeq annotates it as small nucleolar RNA SNORD94. Lineage: Eukaryota; Metazoa; Chordata; Actinopteri; Osmeriformes; Osmeridae. The transcript has a single exon. The record is from RefSeq and is a predicted model, not a curated record.